Long non-coding RNA from Ipomoea triloba (trilobed morning glory), 465 nucleotides. RefSeq lists it as uncharacterized. The transcript has 2 exons. The record is from RefSeq and is a predicted model, not a curated record. Lineage: Eukaryota; Viridiplantae; Streptophyta; Magnoliopsida; Solanales; Convolvulaceae.
GCAAGAUCGGAUUAUCACGCUGACUAGGAGAGAACGAUCUGCUCCGAUCCUCUUUCUAUAUUCUCGACUUUCCCGACGUAGUGUUUUACAAGAUAUGGUUGACCGUUGACCUUCUUGCAAGGUGACAUGGGAUACUUAGUCGAAAAUAUGUUUUGGUAUCUGGAGCAUGCAUCUCGAUUGCCUUGCCCGGUGGACAAGUCCGCUCCGACAAACCAGAUGCUCGUCUAGUGUUAGCAGUCAAGUUCUAACACCCAAUCGGGUACAGAACUCAAAGGCGGCCAAACGAAGAUCUACUAGAUAUUCUCCCAGAUUUGAAGUGAGAUUUCCUUUUCUAAUAUUAGGCAAGUAGUGUGGCGGUUUAGAAGGUUUUUCUAAGUCCAAUUUUGUUAAUUUUUCUUAUUUCCUUUCUAAGGCAUGUAAUACUAAUACUGUAUAAUUACCCCGAAAUCAAUUCACUUAUAAUUA